CGGUCACGUCUUCCAUCGGAACUCUCUGUCCCCUCGGAGCCUGGUGUACGAAAGUGACUUCUCCACGAUCGAGCCUUCUUUGGACAUGUAUGAUGAGAACAAAACCUGAUUUUUUUCAAACGGGCUGUUGGGGGUCACCUCUUUUGUGAUUUGAUUUAUGAUCACCUUUCUUAUUUUGUAUUCUUCUGUCAGCGUCCAUUUUGGAAGAAUGGCAGUGCUUUCCAAGCACAGGCUGGGGCUCAGGGUUAAACUGCACAGUUCCCCCCCCGGUGAGGCUUUGAGGACAGCUUUAUUGCCCAGGUGGCCUCAUGGCACCGAAAACCUACCCAAAGCUGGCCACUGAACGUGGGCCCCGACAAGCUUGGCUGUUUUCGGAGAAGAGGCGGGGCUCAGGGGUUACUGUUGCAUUGCGAAUGUGUCUGUGAAUAACCACCUGCUAUUCCGUGUCGGGGUGACGUUGGGGUUUUUUAAAUACCUUUUGUGCUCCCCACUUAUGAUGCAUACUAAAGUCUGCAGGUGCCGCUUCUCACUGAUGUGGGGCACAAGUUGCUGCUCCCUGGCCUGCUCUGUAUUUUCCUGUCACUUAUUCCACUUCUGGUUAAUGGGCCUCUUUCUAAAGGUUCCUAAGAGAAAGCCUUGUCUUUGUCCCUGUCUGAGACUGACCACCCAGGGCACCACAGUGGAGCUGCGGGCUGUGUGGGACAGGCAUCAUUCGUGUUGUCAUUUCCAGCCUCCCCCGGAGAGCGAGAGUAAGGUGACAAGUGCUUAUGUGGCUGCUGAAACACUGAAGGCCCUCCCUGACCGUGAGGCCAGUGGACUUGCCUUCUUGGCAACCGCGGAGGUGUGUGGGGUGGUGGUGCUGGGGAGGCCAGCCGGGCGGUCUUCCCCAGGCACAGUGGUCCCGGGGUGGCAGCCAGUGGGUGUCGAAGUCAGAACGUUCUGAGUACUUUCUUGAGGGAAUCAAACCGCCUUCUUGCUGUUAGACCCCAGAUAAACACCCUCUUCAGCCCAGGCCUCUCCUGCCAGCCUCGGCGUCGCACGGAGCAGGCAUGCGAGCUUACAGGAAAGGACGCGGCGGCCAGCGUGGGGGACCUUGGGACACGUGUGCUCCUCCCGCAUGCCUGGGAUGACCUCAAGCUAACGCCACAAGAAACUUGUACCUUUAGAAUCAUCCCAACACAGGACCACGAUAAGCAAAUUUAUAAAAACACAUUGCGCAUCCUUUCUGCUCAAGGACACACCAUCUCUCAUCGACACGAGCCAUGUGAAGAUGUGAGUGUAAAUCCCCAGCCCCUUGGAUGAGACUGGAAGCGUCGGUUCCGUGUGCCCGGAGUUAGAUCUGGCAGCAAACCACAUGGACUCGCCCUGGUUAUGCUUACUGACUCCGGGACAGAAGUUUCCGGUGAACACUUGCCAUUUCUCCGUGUGCGGCUGGUUUCUCUCUAUCAGCGUCUCCUCUCGUGAUGUGUUGCCAAGAUGCCUCAGGCCCUGUUGUGCCCGGAACAAACCCCCUCAGAGAGCCAGAGUGUGACAUUGCCUUGGAGUGACCAGCAGCGUUUUAUUUCUAAUCAUUUGAGGCUGAAACAGUGCAGAUUUGUAAGGUCUUAGCAGCUUUUUCUUUUUACCUUUAACCAAGGGCUUUAAUUUGUUUGUUUUUUCCUCUUUAUAGUCUUUGUACUAUAAAAAUAUUUUUGAUAAACAGUUCCAAGCAAGCACUGUUGAGAAAGACAGGUUUGCCCCACUGGCUUUACAGCAGGAGACUCUGUCUCAAGGAGAUGCCAGGGGUUCCAGACACGCACCUGCGUUUGUAUUUGGUUUGGCUCAUCUGACAGAGAAGAGGGCUCAGUUCUGACCACGUUGUCCACACCGUGACCUUGUUUUCCUGAACCAGAACUCAGAUCUCAGCUGCGUGUUUUCUUCUGGUUUGUACAGUCUUGCAAAAGCACGUCCAUUAAAUUUCACUCCAGAUAUUUAUUCCUCCGCUGAAAAGAAAUGAAAUGACUUCAGAAGAAAUUAAAAAUUCAAGCACCUCAAAGUCCACCUAUUAAUACAAUAUUUGAAUUUCUGGUAAAUCUAGGGCACACCCUCAGUGUCAAAUGACCAGUUUCUUACAGGGGAAUUAUCUCAGAAUAGUGCUUCAGAUCCCAGCUUGACACCCUUUUCCUAAAAAUCGGGGCCACUCUCCUGCUCAGCUACAGAAUGUCUUGCCUUUGUCAGGAGGGACAGUAACUUCUCCGUGAAGGUCAUGUACUCUGGGAGUAAUGAGGGUAGCACUUUUCAUCCCAAACAGCAAAGCCGUCUCGGCUGGCAGCUGGACCAAGGAGAAGUUCUCGGCGGAGCCACCCAGGGACCCUGGCAGGGCUGCCUGCCCCGUGAGCUUGGUGAGUGCACACUUCUCACCGUGGGCAGCCCUGCCUGUGAGAAGCUUGAGGUUCGGGGAGCAGAGUAGACUGCUCUGAGCUGGGUCCGGCUCCAGCCCCUGCCUCCCGGCAUGACCUCCACCUUGCCCCCAGGCCACACUCGGUGCAGAACCAGCAGACACCACAGGAUGUGUGUGGAGUGGGGUCUGGAGCAGCCAGAACCAUCAGCUAAUCAGCUUGGAACUGGAUUGUGACAGCUGAAAUGCAGGCACUUACAGUUUGACGAUUUAGAACUUCCUAAGGGGAGAACUGCCCGUGGCCCUCCUGUCCUGUCAUCUCAGGGAGCGGGGAGAGGCAACUGGACAGCAGGAGGGUCAGGCUUGGGGGAGUGAGUGGGCAGCACGUCUGUCCAAGGCUGCCUGCCUCUGCCCGCUCAGGGGAGGACAAGCUCCCCCCAAGAUGGUCAGAACCACCUGGCAAAGUCGGUGAAUCCAGCCUCUGAGGAAAGGCUCCAUCUCCCGGGCCCUCCUCAGGCCUGGCUCAGAGGCGCGUCACAGGGCACUUCCCUGGACACCAGUUUGAACUGAUGCACGCAACAGCCCAGCUUCCGAAAGAUGCAGACGCAAGGGGUUUAAGCAAAAUAAGAGUACUAAAUUUCGCUAACUUGGUAUUUCCCGUGGGCUUUGUAAGCUCUUCUCGUAUUUUUAUUACCCUUUACAUCCAGUUCUUUCCUUGAUCUACAAGUUAAGUGAAACUGGUUUUAAUGGAAGAAAAAUCAAAAUGUUAUCUGGCUUACAGUUCCCCUUUAUUAUCCAGGCAGCGGUCCUGCUGCAGGACAACAAGGAGGUGGUGUUAGAGUCAGGUCACCUUGACAGAAGGUUGCUGCUUGUAAAUGUCAUGAAACAAAUACUGUGUUUCCAGGAAGUAGCAUUUAGAAGGAAAAAGGCAGGGCUAGCAGGCCUUUAGUCAGCUCCCACUGUGUGCCACACACAAACACAGGCAGUUAAGGUGAAUCCAGGGAUCAUUAGGAAUUUGGCUGUUGUGGGAAACUGGCACAUUAACAACCAGUUGGGAUGUGAGACCAGAUGAAACAAUGGCGGAUGGCGAGGGGCGUUCCCUUGGGCAGAUGGAGGGGCGUGGCGCGGUAGCCCCGCCCACGGGACCCCUCGCUUGCCGAGGAUGCAACAGCUUCCGUGAAGACAGGCCAGGUGGAGCCGAGACCAGCAAGGCUGUGGUUUCACCUCCUGGGCAGGGAGGGCUUUGCCGCGGGGAGGGCCCAAGUCUGUUUUGGAGAGAGAGGGAGCUGGGGUGGGAGUGGGCCAAGGAGGCCCUGCUGUGCCUGGGUGCCGGGGUCUGAUUGACAGGGAAAGUGGGGAGCCACGAGAUUGAAGCAGAAGCCAGGAGCAACCUCGGUGACUGGGUGGGUGUCGGAGAGACACAGGGAGAGAGCCACCUUGGGUCUGGGGGCUGCUGGGGCCUCAGGGGAGGCCUGGAGAUGCAGCUCUGGGUCUCAGGCAGAGGUUUGGUGAGGCGAGGGUGGUCAGCGUAUGGCCCCUCUGUGCAUCAGAACCCUGGGAAGCUGUGUUUUAAAUGUACAUGUCACUUCGACCUGCUGUGACCACUUCGACUCUCCAUGUGACCGCAGUCCCUCAGGCGCCCCACAUCGCUCCCUCUCCCCCCUCCCACACACACACUCUCUAGAAUUAGACUCAGGCCUGGUGUUCCUAAGCUAAGUUCAGAUGAUGACUGAAGCCAGAAUGGGGCUAAAAUUGCCCAGUGAUCUGAGAACCAGGCUUGGGAUAAAGCCCUGGGGACGCUGAUAUUGAAGGUAUGGAAGAGAAGGAGCUAUAGACAGAAGCUGAUUUAGAAAAGCCACUGAGUGUAAAGGAAGGUUGGGCUUGGUGAAUCAUUCCAAAGCCCACUGGGAAAAGGAGGAAAUGAGUGUUGAGUACACACGUUCACAUAACGUCCAUGGGUGUGGCUAGGAUCCCCUCCACAGGGCUGGAAAAUGCCUUAGACGUUUUAAGUUUCAUAACAUCAGAGAAAACACAGAAUGACGGAGACAGAGGUAAGGUGCGUGUUUGCUUCGUGGAAUUGUUCUUCUCUUACUGUCCUACAAAACGGCAGGAAAAGCAAAGCGAGCUGGAUCCCACGACUAAGGGAAGAAGGGUUUCCCCCACAGGGGCUGUGUCCCCAGCCCGCCGGCCCCUAUCACUUCUCUGGGGCUCUGGGUCCCCAGCUCACACCAGCCUCUUAGAGCCUGAGUGAGGGGGGCUGAGUGCGGUCAGGAGCCCCACUGUGGCCCUGGGGCUCCUCUGGGGCUUUGGUCAAGUCAGGAGGUCUGUCUGCUUUCUUCGGGGUGCCCUGAAAGAGCCCAACAAACUGAGCCUUGAAGAAGAGAGCCCCGUGGGUCCCCAGCAGACGCGGGGUGAAGGCAGUCAGAGCUGCGUCCCACCAGCCUCAGUGACCGUGCAGGGGAAGGGAUGUUGUCAGUCUCAGCUACUGAAAGGACAAUGUGUCUGUCCAGGACUUGACUUUCAUGGCCCCACAGGGCUCUAGGGGACCCUCCAGUCCAUGACCUGGGACUCAUCUGGGGUUUGGCCUCUGCUCAAGCCAUUUUUUUUCUUCACUCCAACUUGGGGAAGAGGGAAGAUACUUUAUGACAAAAAACAAAAACACCUUGAACUUCAUGCAAACUUGAGGAUUAAAGUCUCAGAAGGAUGCAGUGCUGUUGGGGUCACUCAGACCCCUGUCCCAGCCUUUCCUACUUCCUCCCCUUGAAUCUUCCACAUGCAUGUUCCACAAAGGACAGAGGUUUCGGGCAACAUGGACCCAGGCUGGCAGCCUGAAAGGCAGGACUUCCUCAGACACAGAGCCCUGAGAGACAUUGCUGGGAGCCCAGAGGCAGCUGCCGGGGCGUGCGUGUGCAAGCCAAGGGUGGCGUCCAGCGGGAAGCGCCUUUAUAAACCGCACACACUCUUCUUCUGCGGAAAGCCAAGAGCUGGAGGAUAUCAUCUGCACCCUUUUCUCAGCUGUGGCGGACCCUUGAUGAGUGGGGACACAUCUUUCAGGGUCCCCCACUGUUUAACGCUGGGCGGGAGUGGCUCAUUUCUCACCGUCCACUGCGGUCCAUGUGGGUGGGCAUGUGUACAGGGAAGGGGCCUUUGGGUCAGCUGGCAGCCUGACUGGCCUUCGUCAGCUCCUUACCCCUCAGCUGAUCAUCGCCCUCUCUCUCCAGCUCUCUUUACUGGCAGCUGCUGAGAGUGGCAGAUGAAUGAUCUGAGCAAUGUUUUACAAAUUUAACCCAACACCAAGGGAAUUCUAAUCUGCUUUUGGAAUGAUCCUUCAUCAGUAAUUAAGCCCAAGGAUAUUUACACUAUGUGAUAUUAAAGGACUUUUAUAGUGACUGGGCGCUACUGAGCCAAGAUGUUUGUCAAAACAGAAAUGGGGAGGGUAGGUAGACUCUUACAUCCGAGGCCAUUUCUUUCCCUUAAGGUGAGUGAGCUGUCCCUAAGCAGAAAGGCUAACUGCCUAGUGCCUACCAGCCUGCUGUGCGGACCAGGUCACUGGGUGUGGCCAGUGCCAGGGUCCCAGCCUCCCAGCCUGAGAUGACACAUGCCAUCCUGGAGAGGAGUGGAGCGGGUACCAUGUCCAUUCAUCCCCUGGCAGCCCAGGCCUGCCUUGCUGACCCACCUGGAGGAGAGGCACCGUUGGCCCGUGCUUAAGGCAAGAAUCUGGUGUCUUAAGCUGAGCGUGCAAAGCAGGGUCUUCUCCUGAGUGGCAAUGGCUCUGGCUAAAGAAACUCGACCAUGAUCACAGGAAUAGGAAAAGAUUCCAAGCUAGGAAAUGCUGUUUGGACUCCAGGGGACACUGUCACACUGUCACCACCUUAUGGAACAGUCUGUUACUGUACAAGAGAAGGAGAUGGUCCGAGCCCCAGGCCACAUAUGUCACAAUUGUUUUUGACCCUCAGUAGCUUUUAUAUAUAAAAUAUUAAAGUGAACCCCUUUCACAUUUGGGGCGUUCGGAGAGCUCCUCUUACUCUGGGUUCCUGCUAACUAUGCACAACAUCUCAGAGGACAGCAUCCAAAGCUAUUUUUCUAACUAUAGCACAGGGAAUUUGGGGUGGGGGAGGCUUGGGAUAAACCUAAGUGUGGCAAAUAGCUUAUCGUCCACCUUGAUGGAUGGAAGGUUACACAGUGCACUUGACUUUAGUUCACUAUUGGAGAGCUUGUGCCAGGAAGAACGCACAUCAAAUCUCCAAGAAGCAGAAUUGAUCAUUAGCUUAAUUAGGGGGUGCACAACGGGGGGGGGGUCACCGUGUCUAGAACACGGGCACCUGCAAUGAACGCGAGCUGAUUUCUUGGCCAUCAGAUCUUAGCCCUUUGAAGUGUUCAGGCAGCACAACUCCUAGGCCCAUAUGGUUGAUGUAAGCAUAGUUAAACCGUGAACCUGUACGGUGUGUACCUGUAUGCCGAUAGUGUAUACCUGUAUAUGUGGGAUUUACUAAUGUAACCAUUUCAAUAAAAACCUAUUGAAAAAGA
Molecule: non-coding RNA, 6904 nt
Organism: Vicugna pacos (alpaca)
Lineage: Eukaryota; Metazoa; Chordata; Mammalia; Artiodactyla; Camelidae
Source: RefSeq, a predicted model, not a curated record